UCGGAACCGGGGUACGGGAGGUAAUAGCGUGUACCAACCUGCCCCAUGCUCCAGAAUAGCUCUUGGAAACGGGUGGUAAUGCUGGAUGCUCCAACUUGACGCAUGUCUUGUUGGGAAAGUGUUUAGUGGCAUGGGAUGGGGUAGCGUCCUAUCAGCUUGUAGGCGGGGUAAUGGCCCACCUAGGCUUCGACGGGUAGCCGGCCUGAGAGGGCGGACGGUCACAUUGGGACUGAGAUACGGCCCAGACUCCUACGGGAGGCAGCAGGG
RNAcentral lists this ribosomal RNA (267 nucleotides) under uncultured Gardnerella sp. RNAcentral's name for it is "partial 16S ribosomal RNA". It matches the Rfam family "Bacterial small subunit ribosomal RNA", at positions 89 to 354 of the family's 1533-position model. The record is from RNAcentral. Lineage: Bacteria; Bacillati; Actinomycetota; Actinomycetes; Bifidobacteriales; Bifidobacteriaceae.